CCUACGGGAGGCAGCAGUGGGGAAUAUUGGGCAAUGGGCGCAAGCCUGACCCAGCAACGCCGCGUGAAGGAAGAAGGCUUUCGGGUUGUAAACUUCUUUUAAGGGGGAAGAGCAGAGUACGGUUCCCUUUGAAUUAGGCACGGCUAACUUCGGGGCAGCAGCCGCGGUAAUACGGAGGUGGCAAGCGUUUUCCGGAUUUACUGGGUGGAAAGGGCGUGGAGGCGGGGAGACAAGUCAGAUGUGAAAACCACGGGCUCAACCCGUGAACUGCAUUUGAAACUGUUUCCCUUGAGUGUCGGAGAGGUAAUCGGAAUUCCUUGUGUAGCGGUGAAAUGCGUAGAUAUAAGGAAGAACACCAGUGGCGAAGGCGGAUUACUGGACGAUAACUGACGGUGAGGCGCGAAAGCGUGGGGAGCAAACAGGAUUAGAUACCCGGGUAGUC
RNAcentral lists this ribosomal RNA (442 nucleotides) under uncultured bacterium. RNAcentral's name for it is "partial 16S ribosomal RNA". It matches the Rfam family "Bacterial small subunit ribosomal RNA", at positions 338 to 795 of the family's 1533-position model. The record is from RNAcentral.